AUUGAACGCUGGCGGCAUGCCUAACACAUGCAAGUCGAACGGGUGUAGCAAUACACCUAGUGGCGGACGGGUGAGGAAUACAUAGGAAUCUGCCUCAGAGUGGGGGAGUAACCCCGGGGAAACCCGGACUAAUACCGCAUGAUCUCGCAAGAGCAAAGCAGGGGACCGCAAGGCCUUGUGCUCUGAGAGGAGCCUAUGUCUGAUUAGCUAGUUGGCGGGGUAAUGGCCCACCAAGGCAACGAUCAGUAACUGGUCUGAGAGGACGAUCAGUCACACCGGAACUGAGACACGGUCCGGACUCCUACGGGAGGCAGCAGUGGGGAAUAUUGGACAAUGGGCGAAGCCUGAUCCAGCAAUGCCGCGUGUGUGAAGAAGGCCUCGGGUUGUAAAGCACUUUAGUCAGGGAAGAAAAAUGCUCAAGCUAAUAUCUUGAGUGUUGACGGUACCUGAAGAAUAAGCACCGGCUAACUCUGUGCCAGCAGCCGCGGUAAUACAGAGGGUGCGAGCGUUAAUCGGAUUACUGGGCGUAAAGCGUGUGUAGGUGGCUGUUCAAGUCGGUUGUGAAAUCCCCGGGUCGUCAACCUGGGGAAUUGCUUCCGAGACUGAGCGGCUAGAGUACGGUAGAGGGCGGUGGAA
This 636-nucleotide ribosomal RNA is filed under the name uncultured bacterium. RNAcentral's name for it is "bacterial SSU rRNA". It matches the Rfam family "Bacterial small subunit ribosomal RNA", at positions 28 to 666 of the family's 1533-position model. The record is from RNAcentral.